RNAcentral lists this ribosomal RNA (274 nucleotides) under uncultured bacterium. RNAcentral's name for it is "partial 16S ribosomal RNA". It matches the Rfam family "Bacterial small subunit ribosomal RNA", at positions 523 to 796 of the family's 1533-position model. The record is from RNAcentral.
CUACGUAGGUCCCGAACGUUGCGCGAAAUUACUGGGCGUAAAGGGUCCGUAGGCGGUCUGGUAAGUGGAAGGUGAAAGCCUGGGGCUCAACUCCAGAAUUGCCUUCCAAACUGCCGGACUUGAGGCAGGGAGAGGUCGGCGGAAUUCCCGGUGUAGUGGUGAAAUGCGUAGAUAUCGGGAGGAACACCAGUGGCGAAGGCGGCCGACUGGAACUGUCCUGACGCUGAGGGACGAAAGCCAGGGGAGCGAACCGGAUUAGAAACCCGAGUAGUCC